UCAGUUAGGCACAGAACAUCUGCUAACGCUUACUUCAGCACGCUUACACAAACAAACUGCAUCCUACAAAAGCUUCCGUGACUGCUACCUUCAGGAAACAGAGACAGCUGUUCCGCAGGAGUCCUCAGUCUUUACGAAAACUUCUCUCACUUUUGGAUUUUGAUGCACGAGACAAUCUUUUAUAAGGCUUGGGCAAGGGGCUCCUUCAGACCAAAAUAACAAGGAAGUGGGAUAACAGCUUUGAUCCUAAAUUCCACGGAAGGGAAUACAGCUGAAAGUAUAGGAAAGCUUUUGUCCUGGAGGUACUCGUGUUUUUCUUUGCAUAUGCAGCUGGAUGCAGCCCUCGAGGAGCUAACAUGGAGAAGACCACUUCACAGGCACUGACGCUGCUGGCGUGGGAAGAACCCAAAUCCCUGGCGUGGGAAGAAGCCAACGGAGGCGGAAGAGGCCAACACCACCAAGUUGCCUUAAACCCAUCUGCACGUCCAGCCCUGCCUUCCCAGGAGCACAGCGACCCCUCAAACUCCAGGUCUGACAGCCCAUGAGCUAGUCAGAGCGCUCUCCUCCUGUUAGCUCUGUGCAGGAGACAGCUUCCAUCUUGCAGCUCUUGACCAUGUGGAGAGUCUGGUACGAGUUGUUACAGCAGAGCAAGUUGUCACCUCUGUCUUCUGACUCUUCAUUUAUAUGUAUUGGUAGUGCUAUAGGUCUAAAAUGACCAUACGCAAACAGUGUUUUGAUCUCUUCCCACAGCAACUGUGAGAUGUCCAGACAGUCAGCGAUGAGCAGGAUCCAAAGGCUUUCACGCAUCUCUUUUUCCCCGACAGACUUACUUCUUGCUAAAGACUUGAUUAAAAAAAAAAAAAAAUAUCUUUGUACAAUUUUUGAAAAUUCCAGAACAAUCUUAGUUGUGCAACUUGACAGCAGACACAUGUCUGAGGAUACCAAGCAAUUUUCAUCUCUGAAGUGAAAA
This is a long non-coding RNA of Egretta garzetta (little egret), 970 nucleotides long. RefSeq lists it as uncharacterized. The record is from RefSeq and is a predicted model, not a curated record. The transcript has 3 exons. NCBI's taxonomy places the organism in Eukaryota, Metazoa, Chordata, Aves, Pelecaniformes, Ardeidae.